UUGCACUUUAGGUUUUUUUUGAAAUCAGAAGAAACAAUUAUGUUUACAUUUAAACUGUGUGGUUAAUGAUUUUAAGAACUUUUUAUGUUGAAAAAUAAAAAAUAGUCGAAAUGUGAAACGAAGGCGUGUUUGUGUGUGCGUGUGCACUGCGAGAGAGAGAGUGAGUGUUGUAGCAACUGAAGGAAAGACCGUUCUGAUCACAGCUGCCAACUGGCACAGCUGUUGAGCCUCAACUGCGCGCUGUAGCCACGAUUUAACGGUAAAUAGCACAAGCAAUACACAACACUUGACUUUGCACUUCGCACGCAACUAACUGUACCGUAAGUGGAAAGCACUAAGUGCCAAAUGCACCUUCGGCUGGCUCAACGCACGCUCAUGUGUGGCUCGGGCGAGUGAGUGCAGCUGCUGCCACAAGUGGCGCAGCGAAGAUCAGCACGCCAGCGCUUUAGCACUCUUAACUCUUUUCGCUUCCGACUUCCGACAUCAACUUUGCCUGCGGACUUCGGCAGUGCGAGUGCUUAACUAAUGACGAAGCUGGUGCUUUGUCGGAAAUGUAAUCGUGCAUUGAAUAUGUUGAUUUAUGGCAGGCAAUUGAGAUCUGGCCAGGCUUUUGGCUUCUUGUCUAAGACGACUCCAAGAAAUUUAACUUUGAACGCUGUGAAUACUGAUGGGUUGAUAGCGGUAAUCUUGUACCUUCUUGUGAUUAGUACGAGUUCCUCUCUAAAAACAACAACAGAAGUAUAGUGCAUUGAGUCGAAUUGUUACUACGAAGCUUGGGUUCAAGAUUGUGAGCCCGCGUCGAAACAGGGCUCCAUAAAAAGGGAACAGAAACUCAGUAAGUACAGUAAGCUGGGAAACUUAUAGCAGCGGUCAUUUGGGACUCGGAAGGAAUGUUAUUGAUCGAAGUAUACUACAUUAAAAUAUUACAGCUACAGAAAGAAAUCUUCAGAGAGAAAAGUCGGGUUGUAGAGAUUGAUGGUUUGGAACGACAAUAAGCCCGUCUACCAGAACCGCGUGGCAUUGCCUGCCAUGAAUAAGAUAGUCUUUGAUAAUUUGAAUCACCCACCCCACAGCCCAGUCCUGGUCCAAAGUGAUUACACUCUGUUUCCAAAAAAAAAAAAGGCUGAGGUGAAAAACAUUUGCUUAAUGUUGAAAUCAAAGAGGGAGUUUCAGCGUAUUUUGAAGAAAGAAGAUGAAACAUUUAUGAGAGUGUUAAUAAAAUAUAUGAUAGCUCUGAAA
Molecule: long non-coding RNA, 1239 nt
Organism: Ceratitis capitata (Mediterranean fruit fly)
Lineage: Eukaryota; Metazoa; Arthropoda; Insecta; Diptera; Tephritidae
Exons: 2
Source: RefSeq, a predicted model, not a curated record